Molecule: ribosomal RNA, 1551 nt
Filed under: Salmonella enterica subsp. enterica serovar 1,4,[5],12:i:-
Lineage: Bacteria; Pseudomonadati; Pseudomonadota; Gammaproteobacteria; Enterobacterales; Enterobacteriaceae
Description: bacterial SSU rRNA
Rfam family: Bacterial small subunit ribosomal RNA
Source: RNAcentral
AAAUUGAAGAGUUUGAUCAUGGCUCAGAUUGAACGCUGGCGGCAGGCCUAACACAUGCAAGUCGAACGGUAACAGGAAGCAGCUUGCUGCUUCGCUGACGAGUGGCGGACGGGUGAGUAAUGUCUGGGAAACUGCCUGAUGGAGGGGAUAACUACUGGAAACGGUGGCUAAUACCGCAUAACGUCGCAAGACCAAAGAGGGGGACCUUCGGGCCUCUUGCCAUCAGAUGUGCCCAGAUGGGAUUAGCUAGUUGGUGAGGUAACGGCUCACCAAGGCGACGAUCCCUAGCUGGUCUGAGAGGAUGACCAGCCACACUGGAACUGAGACACGGUCCAGACUCCUACGGGAGGCAGCAGUGGGGAAUAUUGCACAAUGGGCGCAAGCCUGAUGCAGCCAUGCCGCGUGUAUGAAGAAGGCCUUCGGGUUGUAAAGUACUUUCAGCGGGGAGGAAGGUGUUGUGGUUAAUAACCGCAGCAAUUGACGUUACCCGCAGAAGAAGCACCGGCUAACUCCGUGCCAGCAGCCGCGGUAAUACGGAGGGUGCAAGCGUUAAUCGGAAUUACUGGGCGUAAAGCGCACGCAGGCGGUCUGUCAAGUCGGAUGUGAAAUCCCCGGGCUCAACCGGGAACUGCAUUCGAAACUGGCAGGCUUGAGUCUUUGUAGAGGGGGUAGAAUUCCAGGUGCAGCGGUGAAAUGCGUAGAGAUCUGGAGGAAUACCGGAGUAGAAGGCGGCCCCCUGGACAAAGAAUGACGCUCAGGUGCGAAAGAGUGGGCCGCAAACAGCAUUAGAUACCCUCGUAGUCCACGCCGUAAACGAUGUCUACUUGGAGGUUGUGCCCUUGAGGCGUGGCUUCCGGAGCUAACGCGUUAAGUAGACCGCCUGGGGAGUACGGCCGCAAGGUUAAAACUCAAAUGAAUUGACGGGGGCCCGCACAAGCGGUGGAGCAUGUGGUUUAAUUCGAUGCAACGCGAAGAACCUUACCUGGUCUUGACAUCCACAGAAGAAUCCAGAGAUGGAUUUGUGCCUUCGGGAACUGUGAGACAGGUGCUGCAUGGCUGUCGUCAGCUCGUGUUGUGAAAUGUUGGGUUAAGUCCCGCAACGAGCGCAACCCUUAUCCUUUGUUGCCAGCGAUUAGGUCGGGAACUCAAAGGAGACUGCCAGUGAUAAACUGGAGGAAGGUGGGGAUGACGUCAAGUCAUCAUGGCCCUUACGACCAGGGCUACACACGUGCUACAAUGGCGCAUACAAAGAGAAGCGACCUCGCGAGAGCAAGCGGACCUCAUAAAGUGCGUCGUAGUCCGGAUUGGAGUCUGCAACUCGACUCCAUGAAGUCGGAAUCGCUAGUAAUCGUGGAUCAGAAUGCCACGGUGAAUACGUUCCCGGGCCUUGUACACACCGCCCGUCACACCAUGGGAGUGGGUUGCAAAAAGAAGUAGGUAGCUUAACCUUCGGGAGGGCGCUUACCACUUUGUGAUUCAUGACUGGGGUGAAGUCGUAACAAGGUAACCGUAGGGGAACCUGCGGUUGGAUCACCUCCUUACCUUAAAGAA